Molecule: ribosomal RNA, 97 nt
Filed under: uncultured bacterium
Lineage: Bacteria
Description: partial 16S ribosomal RNA
Rfam family: Bacterial small subunit ribosomal RNA
Source: RNAcentral
CACACCGCCCGUCACACCAUGGGAGUUGAUUGCACCAGAAGUAGGUCGCCUAACCGCAAGGAGGGUGCUUACCACGGUGUGGUCAAUGACUGGGGUG